UCCGAGUUGUCCCCGGCAGUCCUCUUAGAGUCCCCGGCAUUACCCGCUGGCAACUAAGAGCAGGGGUUGCGCUCGUUGCGGCACUUAAGCCAACACCUCACGGCACGAGCUGACGACAGCCAUGCAGCAUCUGUGCACGCUCCCUCGCGGGUCCCUUCCCUUUCGGGUCGGUACCACGUGCAUGUCAAGCCGAGGUAAGGUUCUGCGCGUUGCAUCGAAUUAAACCACACGCUCCGCUGCUUGUGCGGGCCCCCGUCAAUUCCUUUGAGUUUCAGCCUUGCGGCCGUACUCCCCAGGCGGGGCACUUACUGCGUUAGCGACGGCACCGAGGAAUCGAAUCCCCAACACCUAGUAUGCAUCGUUUACGGCGUGGACUAC
Molecule: unclassified non-coding RNA, 378 nt
Filed under: uncultured bacterium
Lineage: Bacteria
Description: contains 16S-23S intergenic spacer region
Source: RNAcentral